Molecule: long non-coding RNA, 632 nt
Organism: Papaver somniferum (opium poppy)
Lineage: Eukaryota; Viridiplantae; Streptophyta; Magnoliopsida; Ranunculales; Papaveraceae
Exons: 2
Source: RefSeq, a predicted model, not a curated record
CAUCAUAAUUGUACGAGUGGAGAAAUAACCAUUUUACAUCUAAACCGACUGGGACACCCUUAACCUUUUCUUCUCUUUAUCUCUAUCCUUCUUCUUCAUUCUUCUUCUCUGUUUUUCCUCUCUUUCUCUCUCUCGAUCUUAGCUCACAAGAACUGAGUUCUUUUAUGUGUCAGUUUUCCAUAGAGAGUUAGAUAGCCUGAUGAGUCAAUGAAGAUGAUGUUAUAACUGAGAUUUUUGGAGUUCCAGGAGAAGAAGAAGGUGACGGUGUUAAAUUGAAGUUAGGGUUCGUGUAGAAUUCAUGAUGAUAUAGUGUUAUUAAUGGAUGAAGAGAAGAGGGGUUGCUGUUGAAUUGAUGUGAUAAAGCUGUUCUACUGUGGAAUCGAAAAAAGAAGAGACAGAUUCGAGAUGUGCAUGUGGCGAUAAAAGCUUCGAGGAGUUGGUUGCGUUAGUUGGUUAGCUUCCGCUAUGUUUAUUUUUGUGUUUAUAUCAAAAUUGUAAACAACCUCAUUAUCAUAUAUGUAUCAUCUGAUAUGAGUUCUUGUAUUUAUUUCAGAGCGGAUUUAGAUUUGGAUUAAUCUUUGUUUAGAACUUCUUUCUUAUUGUUUAAAUAGACGUUUUGGAUUCUUAGGGCC